This 521-nucleotide ribosomal RNA is filed under the name uncultured bacterium. Its description in RNAcentral is "bacterial SSU rRNA". It matches the Rfam family "Archaeal small subunit ribosomal RNA", at positions 345 to 865 of the family's 1478-position model. The record is from RNAcentral.
AACCUCCGCAAUGUGAGAAAUCGCGACGGGGGGAUCCCAAGUGCCAUUCUUAACGGGAUGGCUUUUCAUUAGUGUAAAGAGCUUUUGGAAUAAGAGCUGGGCAAGACCGGUGCCAGCCGCCGCGGUAACACCGACAGCUCUAGUGGUAGCAAUUUUUAUUGGGCCUAAAGCGUCCGUAGCCGGUUUAAUAAGUCUCUGGUGAAAUCCUGUAGCUUAACUGUGGGAAUUGCUGGAGAUACUAUUAGACUUGAGACCGGGAGAGGUUAGAGGUACUCCCAGGGUAGAGGUGAAAUUCUGUAAUCCUGGGAGGACCGCCUGUUGCGAAGGCGUCUAACUGGAACGGUUCUGACGGUGAGGGACGAAAGUUAGGGGCGCGAACCGGAUUAGAUACCCGGGUAGUCCUAACUGUAAACGAUGCGGACUUGGUGUUGGGGUGGCUUUGAGCUGUCUCAGUGCCGAAGGGAAGCUGUUAAGUCCGCCGCCUGGGAAGUACGGUCGCAAGACUAGAAACUUAAAGGAUU